CCUACGGGUGGCAGCAGUGGGGAAUAUUGCACAAUGGGGGAAACCCUGAUGCAGCGACGCCGCGUGAGUGAGGAAGUAUUUCGGUAUGUAAAGCUCUAUCAGCAGGGAAGAAAAUGACGGUACCUGACUAAGAAGCCCCGGCUAACUACGUGCCAGCAGCCGCGGUAAUACGUAGGGGGCAAGCGUUAUCCGGAUUUACUGGGUGUAAAGGGAGCGUAGACGGAAUUGCAAGUCUGAUGUGAAAAUCCGGGGCCCAACCCCGGAACUGCAUUGGAAACUGUCUUUCUAGAGUGUCGGAGAGGCAAGUGGAAUUCCUGGUGUAGCGGUGAAAUGCAUAGAUAUUAGGAAGAACACCAGUGGCGAAGGCGGCUUACUGGACUGUCACUGACACUGAGGCUCGAAAGCGUGGGGAGCGAACAGGAUUAGAUACCCCUGUAGUC
Molecule: ribosomal RNA, 440 nt
Filed under: uncultured bacterium
Lineage: Bacteria
Description: partial 16S ribosomal RNA
Rfam family: Bacterial small subunit ribosomal RNA
Source: RNAcentral